This 432-nucleotide ribosomal RNA is filed under the name uncultured bacterium. RNAcentral describes it as "partial 16S ribosomal RNA". It matches the Rfam family "Bacterial small subunit ribosomal RNA", at positions 29 to 507 of the family's 1533-position model. The record is from RNAcentral.
AACGAACGCUGGCGGCAUGCCUAACACAUGCAAGUCGAACGAGACCUUCGGAUCUAGUGGCGCACGGGUGCGUAACGCGUGGGAACCUGCCCUUAGGUUCGGAAUAACUCCCCGAAAGGGGUGCUAAUACCGGAUAAUGUCUUCGGACCAAAGAUUUAUCGCCUUUGGAUGGGCCCGCGUUGGAUUAGCUAGUUGGUAGGGUAAAAGCCUACCAAGGCGACGAUCCAUAGCUGGUCUGAGAGGAUGAUCAGCCACACUGGGACUGAGACACGGCCCAGACUCCUACGGGAGGCAGCAGUGGGGAAUAUUGGACAAUGGCGAAAGCCUGAUCCAGCAAUGCCGCGUGAGUGAUGAAGGCCUUAGGGUUGUAAAGCUCUUUUACCCGGGAUGAUAAUGACAGUACCGGGAGAAUAAGCUCCGGCUAACUCCGUG